Molecule: unclassified non-coding RNA, 250 nt
Filed under: plant metagenome
Description: partial contains small subunit ribosomal RNA, internal transcribed spacer 1, and 5.8S ribosomal RNA
Source: RNAcentral
GUAGGUGAACCUGCGGAAGGAUCAUUAAUAAGUUGAACCCACACCCCUCGUUGUGUAGGUUACUUGUCCACGCAUUAGCAGCCCAUCAAGCUUCCGAAAGGAAGAUGUAAGCUGGAUCGCCCAUUCACGUUGUCGUCUCACGGGACGGCAGGCUUCAGUGCGAGCGUGGUGGUCACGGUUUGCGGCGCCGAUCGUAAGAUUGGCCUUGGGAUUACACUUAAACCCGUGUCUACCUUCUCUGUUUCUUUGG